Molecule: unclassified non-coding RNA, 188 nt
Filed under: uncultured Piloderma
Lineage: Eukaryota; Fungi; Basidiomycota; Agaricomycetes; Atheliales; Atheliaceae
Description: sequence contains ITS1
Source: RNAcentral
CUGAAGUGAUUUGGGGAUGUUGCUGGCCUCCCGGGGCACGUGCACGCCCGAGCCCUUAAUCCACACACACCUGUGAACCUAUUGUAAGGGCCCGUGAAAAGGCCUUUACGUUUUAUCAUCAACCCACUGUAUGUCUCAUAGAAUGUAAAUCUAUAUCCUCGCCCUAAAAAGCGUUGAUAAAACUUAUA